RNAcentral lists this long non-coding RNA (221 nucleotides) under Mytilus galloprovincialis (Mediterranean mussel). The record is from RNAcentral. Lineage: Eukaryota; Metazoa; Mollusca; Bivalvia; Mytilida; Mytilidae.
AAGAAGUGAUUGUUGCUUGACGCCAAAAGGUUAUUCGGAGGUGAUAUAAGGUCAUUCGGAGGCAAAAUACAGCUAAAGACCAAAAUUGUAAAUACGUUUAUAAGCAACGCCCGUACCUCAAAUUCAGCUAUAAAAGGUUCUGAAUGACAAAUGUUAAAGAAUCCAAAUAAGAAAACUAACGGCCUCAUGUACAAAAUAAAUAAAAGAAAAACAAAUAUGUA